This 117-nucleotide small nuclear RNA is filed under the name Galleria mellonella (greater wax moth). RNAcentral describes it as "U5 spliceosomal RNA". It matches the Rfam family "U5 spliceosomal RNA". From Rfam's summary of the family: U5 RNA is a component of both types of known spliceosome. The precise function of this molecule is unknown, though it is known that the 5' loop is required for splice site selection and p220 binding, and that both the 3' stem-loop and the Sm site are important for Sm protein binding and cap methylation. Lineage: Eukaryota; Metazoa; Arthropoda; Insecta; Lepidoptera; Pyralidae. The record is from Rfam by way of RNAcentral.
UUACUCUGGUUUCCCUUCAAAACGCAUAAAUCUUUCGCCUUUUACUAAAGAUUUCCGUGGAGGGGAACACUCAAAUGAGUCUUAUUUAUUUUUUGAAAGUCCUGCUCUAGCAGGAUU